This 2090-nucleotide unclassified non-coding RNA is filed under the name Hevea brasiliensis (rubber tree). The record is from RNAcentral. Lineage: Eukaryota; Viridiplantae; Streptophyta; Magnoliopsida; Malpighiales; Euphorbiaceae.
GGCUUAUUCUGAUAUAAAAGAUUGAUUGAAACAUAUCAUAUGCAUGGCUUUUGAUCCCUUACCAACUAAAAUCAGAUCUUCCCAUCACAUCUUUUCUAUUUUUCAAUUGUUGUGUUUACAACUGUGCAUACCAAUGCGAUGUCUAAUCUUGAGGAACGCUUCAAGAACAGCUUUAAAAUCUUACACCAUGAAAUGUAAAGAAGAAUGCCUUGAAGGCAAAGCCAAAGAAAUUUCAGGCAUGUUACUGUAAUGAUUGCCUUGAUCUUGAUAUCAAAUUUCACAGUAAACGUAAAGAAAAUAUCUUUCUAUAAUUUGUUGCCCUCAAGAGGAAAAUUAAAAGCAUUCAAGCUUUGGCUCUGUAAGAUUUCUAGCCGAUUGAUCUUAUAUCUAUGCUAUUGAUCAAGACACGUAUAAUGGUUAAUACUACUUAGUCCAUGGAAGAGAACCUGGGUAAGGACCAGCUCCACAAUAUCUGAAUAAACCUUCAAUUUCAGGGCAGCCAUUAGGAUAAGGGAUUGACCGAUGAAAGGGAUCACGCCCAAGUUUUUUACGCCGAAGUGUACCUCUACACCCAUAUGGAUCUUCUUGAAAUUGAGCCCUUACCAAUGCCUCACCUUUCAAAGCUGCUUCUUUGGAAGUUGAUGUUGUUGGAGUGCCAUAGUAAAAGAAUCUUGAAUCCGGAAAACCAAUUGCAGAGCGAUGCAAGUGUGAAAAUCUUUCUUUCUUGAAGUCAUAACUUACAACUGUUAUGUUUUCAGGAUAUGUGCCAGUAAGCUCUCGGAACCGGCAAACACUAAAGAGAAGAUUCUCAAAGCUGUCUCUUGCAUGUUCUUCUGUCAAUGCCCUCCAUCUCACGCUUUCCUCAUUGCCAAACCAUCCUUUUGAUUCAGCAACAGUCCAAUAGCUCUGUGCUUCACUACGUGGACCAGCAUCUUUUCUUGUCUCACCGCCACUAAACAAAAGCAAAGCCCUAUCAUCCUUUGCUGUAAUUUCAACUCCCUCUUGUAUAUGAGUCACAAAAGUAGCAGCCUGACCUGGAUUUCUCUGAUAAGACUCUAAAAACCAAGAAUCCUCCUUAUCAACUCUCUCACAACUACUACUGGUAUAAACCGAAUGCCCAGCAACCAUUACAAGAUUUUUAAGCUUAGCAAAAGGAUAAACAUUCGAACUCAUAUCCAAUUUCCUGUAACUAUUCAUCGUUCGAUACCGGCUCUCAUAUAGAGACAAAACAACGAGAAUAGUGAUCCCCAAAGACAAUGAAAUGAUGAACACAAGAAAUGGGUGCAGCUUGUAAUAAUAGUGAAGCCGGUUAGCCAGAGAUUUGAGCAUUUUGAAGGGGAGAAAGGAGGAGUUUUUUGACUUUCGGAGCCUUUUGAUGGUUCCUGAUUCUAAAUCGAAUUCACCUCUUGGAUACGCAUUGAAAGAUUUGGGACUAUUUGCAUGCAUGUUCAUUAUAAAGAAAAUCCAGCUUAUAAGCAGUGAUAUUUAUGGAAAUCAAGCAUACCCAGAUAGGGAUUUGGACAGAAAAAGGUAAAGCAAUGGAUUCAUGAAUAUGACCAGAAGCAGAUUCGGAUAGACAGCUAUCCUUUAAUCAAUUUAAACACACAAAUAUGAGAAUUUACAGAUAUUAAGCAAUGGGAUCAUAUGUUAUAAUUCAAUUGCUGAAACCAGGUACCGUUUUACACACACACAGAAAGGAAAGCCCAAUUUCAAUUGAUCAACGGAUAAAUUUUAUAGCUUGGGAAAGGGAAAUCACACAAAACCAUGAACACAUUCGAGUAGAGAAGUCAAUGGGGUAGCGCAAGUCAGAACGCUUUUGGAAAACAAGCACGAAUAGAGAGUGAUAGACAAGCUCACCACAGAAAGUUUGAUGAAAUAGUUGGGUGUUUAAUGCAGAGAGUUCCAGUGCCUGGAAAUAAUCAGAUCAUGAAAUGCUGACAAGAUUCAGAUUCUUGAGAGAUUUGUUUCAGAAAAUGAUCGCAUAUACAUUGUUUUGUUUUUCUAGGAUUUGAGAGAUGGUGGAGAAGACGACCAGAAGUUUUCCGUUGCCUGUGUAGAAGCACUGUUGAUCUCAGAUUGCUUCGUCCAAG